GAUGAACGCUGGCGGCGUGCCUAAUACAUGCAAGUCGAGCGAACAGACGAGGGGCUUGCUCCUCUGACGUUAGCGGCGGACGGGUGAGUAACACGUGGAUAACCUACCUAUAAGACUGGGAUAACUUCGGGAAACCGGAGCUAAUACCGGAUAAUAUAUUGAACCGCAUGGUUCAAUAGUGAAAGACGGUUUUGCUGUCACUUAUAGAUGGAUCCGCGCCGCAUUAGCUAGUUGGUAAGGUAACGGCUUACCAAGGCAACGAUGCGUAGCCGACCUGAGAGGGUGAGCGGCCACACUGGAACUGAGACACGGCACAGACUCCUACGGGAGGGAGCCGUAGGGAAUCUGGCGCAAUGGGCGGAAGCCUGACGGAGCAACGCCGCGUGAGUGAUGAAGGUCUUCGGAUCGUAAAACUCUGUUAUUAGGGAAGAACAAAUGUGUAAGUAACUAUGCGCGUCUUGACGGUACCUAAUCAGAAAGCCACGGCUAACUACGUG
Molecule: ribosomal RNA, 497 nt
Filed under: uncultured bacterium
Lineage: Bacteria
Description: partial 16S ribosomal RNA
Rfam family: Bacterial small subunit ribosomal RNA
Source: RNAcentral